This 468-nucleotide ribosomal RNA is filed under the name uncultured bacterium. RNAcentral describes it as "partial 16S ribosomal RNA". It matches the Rfam family "Bacterial small subunit ribosomal RNA", at positions 28 to 507 of the family's 1533-position model. The record is from RNAcentral.
GACGAACGCUGGCGGCGUGCUUAACCCAUGCAAGUCGAACGGAAAGGCCCUGCUUUUGUGGGGUGCUCGAGUGGCGAACGGGUGAGUAACACGUGAGUAACCUGCCCUUGACUUUGGGAUAACUUCAGGAAACUGGGGCUAAUACCGGAUAGGCGCUCCUGCUGCAUGGUGGGGGUUGGAAAGUUUCGGCGGUUGGGGAUGGACUCGCGGCUUAUCAGCUUGUUGGUGGGGUAGUGGCUUACCAAGGCUUUGACGGGUAGCCGGCCUGAGAGGGUGACCGGCCACAUUGGGACUGAGAUACGGCCCAGACUCCUACGGGAGGCAGCAGUGGGGAAUAUUGCACAAUGGGCGGAAGCCUGAUGCAGCAACGCCGCGUGCGGGAUGACGGCCUUCGGGUUGUAAACCGCUUUCGCCUGUGACGAAGCGUGAGUGACGGUAAUGGGUAAAGAAGCACCGGCUAACUACGUG